RNAcentral lists this ribosomal RNA (1336 nucleotides) under Ophiostoma bicolor. Its description in RNAcentral is "SSU rRNA". It matches the Rfam family "Eukaryotic small subunit ribosomal RNA", at positions 68 to 1437 of the family's 1831-position model. Lineage: Eukaryota; Fungi; Ascomycota; Sordariomycetes; Ophiostomatales; Ophiostomataceae. The record is from RNAcentral.
AGCAAUUAUACGGCGAAACUGCGAAUGGCUCAUUAAAUCAGUUAUCGUUUACUUGAUAGCCCCUUACUACUUGGAUAACCGUGGUAAUUCUAGAGCUAAUACAUGCUGAAAAGCCCGACUUCGGAAGGGUUGUAUUUAUUAGAUUAAAAACCAAUGCCCCUCGGGGCUCACUGGUGAUUCAUGAUAACUUCUCGAAUCGCACGGCCUUGCGCCGGCGAUGGCUCAUUCAAAUUUCUGCCCUAUCAACUUUCGACGGCUGGAUCUGGGCCCGCCAUGGUGACAACGGGUAACGGAGGGUUAGGGCUCGGCCCCGGAGAAGGAGCCUGAGAAACGGCUACUACAUCCAAGGAAGGCAGCAGGCGCGCAAAUUACCCAAUCCCGACUCGGGGAGGUAGUGACAAUAAAUACUGAUACAGGGCUCUUUUGGGUCUUGUAAUUGGAAUGAGUACAAUUUAAUUCCCUUAACGAGGAACAAUUGGAGGGCAAGUCUGGUGCCAGCAGCCGCGGUAAUUCCAGCUCCAAUAGCGUAUAUUAAAGUUGUUGCAGUUAAAAAGCUCGUAGUUGAACCUUGGGCCUGGCUGGCCGGUCCGCCUCACCGCGUGCACUGGUCCGGCCGGGUCUUUCCCUCUGGGGAGCCGCAUGCCCUUCACUGGGCGUGUCGGGGAACCAGGACAUUUACUUUGAAAAAAUUAGAGUGUUCAAAGCAGGCUUAUGCUCGAAUACAUUAGCAUGGAAUAAUAGAAUAGGACGCGCGGUUCUAUUUUGUUGGUUUCUAGGACCGCCGUAAUGAUUAAUAGGGACAGUCGGGGGCAUCAGUAUUCAAUAGUCAGAGGUGAAAUUCUUGGAUCUAUUGAAGACUAACUACUGCGAAAGCAUUUGCCAAGGAUGUUUUCAUUAAUCAGGAACGAAAGUUAGGGGAUCGAAGACGAUCAGAUACCGUCGUAGUCUUAACCAUAAACUAUGCCGACUAGGGAUCGGACGAUGUUAUUUUUUGACUCGUUCGGCACCUUACACGAAAGUACAAGUUUCUGGGUUCUGGGGGGAGUAUGGUCGCAAGGCUGAAACUUAAAGAAAUUGACGGAAGGGCACCACCAGGGGUGGAGCCUGCGGCUUAAUUUGACUCAACACGGGGAAACUCACCAGGUCCAGACACGAUGAGGAUUGACAGAUUGAGAGCUCUUUCUUGAUUUCGUGGGUGGUGGUGCAUGGCCGUUCUUAGUUGGUGGAGUGAUUUGUCUGCCUAAUCGCGAUAACGAACGAGACCUUAACCUGCUAAAUAGCCCGCGCUGCUCUGGCAGCGUGCUGGCUUCUUAGAGGGACUAUCGGCUCAAGCCGA